CCACCACCAUAUUUUCCUCAAUUUCCCCUAAUUUUCUCCUAUUGUUUCCGAAUGUUUCCUACUCCUUUCCCUUUUUUCCACGUUGACCCUGAACAUUGUGAAUUACGAUAUUAAACAUUUUAGUGUGUUUACUUUGUGUCAUUCGGAGUUUUCUAACUCACCAAAUGAGGGUUUGUCCGAGUCCCGAACGUGAACGCUCCCAUCGGAGACGCGGCGCUGUGCUCGGCGUCCCGAACUGCGCGGCCGUCGCUGUCCCGAACUUGAAGGGGUGGAGGCCUGAGCGUUUGAGGAGCGGGCUGCGGAGCGAGCUGCGUAGCCGCGCUGCCAAAGCUGAAGCCGCCGGAGCCUGGGGCGGCUGCGGGGGUGACGGUGGAGCUGCCAAGGAGAACGAGGGCGUGGCCACGGUCCCGAACGAGUGCGCCGUGGUGGGGGAGCUGACCUAGAGAGGGAGCGGCGGCUGUUUGGGGCGGGGCAGAGGCCGGGGCGCCAAACGAGAACGGUUUGGGAGGUUCAGCCGCAGAACUGGACUCAAGCGACGACUUCCCAAAGGUGAAAGACGGCUGCGAGGGCUGGGAGGAGGUCGUCCCGAAAGUCAGAGCGGACGGGGCGACGGUGGUCGUCCCGAACGUCGACUGUGAAGACGCCGCAGUCCCAAAACCAACAGCAGAUUGCGCGGUGGUGGUCGUCCCGAAAGCAGGAGCGGCCUGUGAGGAUGUGGUCGACCCGAAGGUGAGCGCAGUAGACGGGGCGGCGGUGCUCGUCCCGAAGCCAAGAACCGACUGCGAGGUGGUCGUCCCGAAAGUCGACUGCGAAGACGCCGUCGUCCCAAAGCCCAGAGCGGAUUGCGCGGUGGAGGUCGUCCCGAAGGUGGGAGGAGGCGCCAGCUGCGAGAAGCCGUGGUCGUCCAAAGCUUAUCGCAGACGGGGCGGAGGUGGUCGCCCCGAAAGCGGACUGCGAAGACGUGGUGGUGGUCGUCCCGAAGCCUCCGAAAGCAGCAGCAGCCGCGCCCGUGUUCUGGGCCGGCGCCGCCUGUCCAAAGGCGAUCUGAGAGGAGCCUGAGGAGAACUGCAGCGGGGUCCCAGACGAGCUCCCGAACAUGCUGCUGCUGCUGCUGAGGGGCGCGGCGCCAGACACGGGGGCGGGCACCGUGCUGGGGGGGAGAGCGAAGCCGAGGCGCCGAACAACGAGGCGGAGGAGGCGGUAGAUGUGGAGGAGGCGCCGGGAGCAGCACCAAAAUGGGCUUAAAGUUCUGCUGAGGUUUGGGUUCUGCGGCGCUGGAGGAGGUGGGGAUGUUGAACAUGGGUUUGAAGCCUGAGGGCGGGACGGCGCUGGAGGGGGCGGCGCUGGAGGGGCGGUAACUGUGGGGAGGCUGAACAGGCCCGGGGCAAGAGCAGGAGGCUGCGUGGAGGAGGCUGUAGAAGGAGGCGCUGAAGAGGCAGAGGCUGGGGGGACAGACGUCUGCAGGGACAGACCGGGCUGGACCGGAGCCGAGGAGGCCGUCCCUGUGACAACAGGACAGAUGUUAGUUUCAGGCGAGAUACGGCAGCUGAAUGUGGACAAAAUUAAGAGAUGUCCAUUUGACUUUCGCGGUUGCAUUACUGACAUAAAUAUGAGGAAAAAAGCAUAGCAAG
Molecule: long non-coding RNA, 1631 nt
Organism: Neogobius melanostomus (round goby)
Lineage: Eukaryota; Metazoa; Chordata; Actinopteri; Gobiiformes; Gobiidae
Source: Ensembl